This 977-nucleotide long non-coding RNA is filed under the name Anser brachyrhynchus (Pink-footed goose). RNAcentral's name for it is "lncRNA (ENSABRG00000020037.1)". The record is from RNAcentral. Lineage: Eukaryota; Metazoa; Chordata; Aves; Anseriformes; Anatidae.
GUCGGUGUUAGGCCUCAAGGAGCCUGCCAAGUGCUUGUCUGUGCUGACCUCGACCUGCCUGUGAGGGAUCUGGUUUGUGUUUAUGAAAAUACAGGGGAAAAAAAAGAUGCUGUGAAAGUGAAGAACAUAUUGUUAAGAAUGAGAAUUUCCUGGCAGGCAGUCCUUCGAGGUCAUUUUAAUUUUCCAGACAUCUUCAUCAGCUGUUAUAAACCAAUAGCAGUUAUUACUUGGAAAUGGAAAUUAUUGAAAACGUAUAGAGAAAUUCCAAGGAUCCUGACACUGAGGCUUGUCAUGGCAGCUUCUUUUGUAAACAGUUUGUACAGUGAGUCUAUGCAGAAUCCUACAAAUCCUGUGAAACUAAGGCUGGGGAGAGAAAGAGAAGGAAACCUAUUUUUCAGAGUUCAUGUCUGGACUUGCCAGGUAUAUACAGUUCCACUAAGAAAAAGAAGUCCUGCCCAAAGGGAAGGGUUUGGAGCUUUUCUCUACUGCAGCAACCGCCCGGCUUGCAAACUUGCCUUGGGAGGGGAGCUGAGUGGUGCUCAUAAUGGAGUCCUUCAUACCUCGGAGAGAGCAGCUGCCUCACACUUCAGUGCACACAAACAAAACACCUGCUUAAACCCAGAAAAACCAGUUGGAGACUGCGUUGAUAAGAAGUAGAUGGUGUUCAGUUCUGCUUCUUAAACAGCAAUCUACUUGGUUCUGGCAGCAGGACUGUUCAAAGGAGAAGCAGAACUGCUUUCUUCAGAAGUUCAGCAAACUUUACUGCAGCCAGGGCCCUCACAGAGCAGCGAGGGCCUACCCUAAGGAAGCUGAAUGUUGUUUUACUCCCAUAAGAACAUGUUGUUCCACCUUCUGUUUGUUGAGUCUUUUUCUUAAACCAUAGACACUUGCAAUUUGGUUUCUAGGUAAAAAGAGCUCAUUACAGUGGCUUGUCUCUUAUGAUUCAGAAACCUGAAAUAAAGAUAAUUUAGGCUACA